AUUUUUAUGGAGAGUUUGAUCCUGGCUCAGGAUGAACGCUGGCGGCGUGCCUAAUACAUGCAAGUCGAGCGAACGGACGAGAAGCUUGCUUCUCUGA
Molecule: ribosomal RNA, 97 nt
Filed under: Staphylococcus aureus
Lineage: Bacteria; Bacillati; Bacillota; Bacilli; Caryophanales; Staphylococcaceae
Description: partial 16S ribosomal RNA
Rfam family: Bacterial small subunit ribosomal RNA
Source: RNAcentral